Molecule: long non-coding RNA, 254 nt
Organism: Saccostrea cuccullata (small rock oyster)
Lineage: Eukaryota; Metazoa; Mollusca; Bivalvia; Ostreida; Ostreidae
Exons: 2
Source: RefSeq, a predicted model, not a curated record
GGGGACAUUUAGGCUGGAAGGUGACAAACUGAGAGACUUCAACACACAAAGGACUUUAAGGAUAAGAAAGAUGGAAGAAACAUGAGAAUUAAUCUUCCUUGAGAUGGAAAUUUUACGGUUUUGAAAAACAUGACAGAAAUGGAGUUGUGACUGCUUUCUAUAUUUGCUACGCAUUUAAUACAUGUACAUCCUUAUCAAAACAUUGAAAUUGUCAAUGUGAAAAGUAUUUUUAAAAUAAAAUAUGUCAAACUUUA